RNAcentral lists this ribosomal RNA (1373 nucleotides) under uncultured bacterium. Its description in RNAcentral is "bacterial SSU rRNA". It matches the Rfam family "Bacterial small subunit ribosomal RNA", at positions 28 to 1381 of the family's 1533-position model. The record is from RNAcentral.
GAUGAACGCUGGCGGCGUGCCUAAUACAUGCAAGUCGAGCGAACGGACGAGAAGCUUGCUUCUCUGAUGUUAGCGGCGGACGGGUGAGUAACACGUGGAUGACCUACCUAUAAGACUGGGAUAACUUCGGGAAACCGGAGCUAAUACCGGAUAAUAUUUCGAACCGCAUGGUUCAAAAGUGAAAGACGGUCUUGCUGUCACUUAUAGAUGGAUCCGCGCUGCAUUAGCUAGUUGGUAAGGUAACGGCUUACCAAGGCAACGAUGCAUAGCCGACCUGAGAGGGUGAUCGGCCACACUGGAACUGAGACACGGUCCAGACUCCUACGGGAGGCAGCAGUAGGGAAUCUUCCGCAAUGGGCGAAAGCCUGACGGAGCAACGCCGCGUGAGUGAUGAAGGUCUUCGGAUCGUAAAACUCUGUUAUUAGGGAAGAACAUAUGUGUAAGUAACUGUGCACAUCUUGACGGUACCUAAUCAGAAAGCCACGGCUAACUACGUGCCAGCAGCCGCGGUAAUACGUAGGUGGCAAGCGUUAUCCGGAAUUAUUGGGCGUAAAGCGCGCGUAGGCGGUUUUUUAAGUCUGAUGUGAAAGCCCACGGCUCAACCGUGGAGGGUCAUUGGAAACUGGAAAACUUGAGUGCAGAAGAGGAAAGUGGAAUUCCAUGUGUAGCGGUGAAAUGCGCAGAGAUAUGGAGGAACACCAGUGGCGAAGGCGACUUUCUGGUCUGUAACUGACGCUGAUGUGCGAAAGCGUGGGGAUCAAACAGGAUUAGAUACCCUGGUAGUCCACGCCGUAAACGAUGAGUGCUAAGUGUUAGGGGGUUUCCGCCCCUUAGUGCUGCAGCUAACGCAUUAAGCACUCCGCCUGGGGAGUACGACCGCAAGGUUGAAACUCAAAGGAAUUGACGGGGACCCGCACAAGCGGUGGAGUAUGUGGUUUAAUUCGAAGCAACGCGAAGAACCUUACCAAAUCUUGACAUCCUUUGACAACUCUAGAGAUAGAGCCUUCCCCUUCGGGGGGGCAAAGUGACAGGUGGUGCAUGGUUGUCGUCAGCUCGUGUCGUGAGAUGUUGGGUUAAGUCCCGCAACGAGCGCAACCCUUAAGCUUAGUUGCCAUCAUUAAGUUGGGCACUCUAAGUUGACUGCCGGUGACAAACCGGAGGAAGGUGGGGAUGACGUCAAAUCAUCAUGCCCCUUAUGAUUUGGGCUACACACGUGCUACAAUGGACAAUACAAAGGGCAGCGAAACCGCGAGGUCAAGCAAAUCCCAUAAAGUUGUUCUCAGUUCGGAUUGUAGUCUGCAACUCGACUACAUGAAGCUGGAAUCGCUAGUAAUCGUAGAUCAGCAUGCUACGGUGAAUACGUUCCCGGGUCU